GCAGUCUUCUAAAUACACCUCCUGCUGUAUGUCGUGUUAGAGGAAAGGUAUUCGUGACACUUGUUAAAAAUGAGGAAGGAAUCUGAGGUCGGCAAUCAUUCUACAGAAAACUCAUCCCAGCCAUCCCAAUCCAAGCGGGGCAGCCCCGUUUGGAGACCCUCUGAACUGGGAAUCCUUUCAGGAUUUGAAGCCAAUCCAAAUCCACCACUUCAUUCAGGAUGAUUUUAUUGUCACCACCUUUCUGAGGGCCCCUGACCACAGCAUUUUCAGAGGAAACCGGAUUACUGUGAAAUCAUCCGAUAACACACCUCUGAGAAGAAAUGAAAUGUAUUUUUAUUGGCGGAGCCAAGAUGAAGUAUGUCUUGAAAUCUGUUUUACAAAUAACCUGGCACAUAAAUUGUCCAUUCCUGCUUCA
Non-coding RNA from Miniopterus natalensis, 415 nucleotides. The record is from RefSeq and is a predicted model, not a curated record. NCBI's taxonomy places the organism in Eukaryota, Metazoa, Chordata, Mammalia, Chiroptera, Miniopteridae.